RNAcentral lists this ribosomal RNA (777 nucleotides) under uncultured Neocallimastigales. RNAcentral describes it as "partial large subunit ribosomal RNA". It matches the Rfam family "Eukaryotic large subunit ribosomal RNA", at positions 23 to 634 of the family's 3401-position model. Lineage: Eukaryota; Fungi; Neocallimastigomycota; Neocallimastigomycetes; Neocallimastigales. The record is from RNAcentral.
GAGACUCUGUGCGCGUGCAUAUCAAUAAGCGGAGGAAAAGAAACUAACAAGGAUUCCCUUAGUAACGGCGAGUGAAGCGGGAAGAGCUCAAAUUUGAAAUCUUCAAGGUUCUACCUUGACGAAUUGUAGUUUAUAGAAGUGUUUUCUGUUAGUAGAGUGGCAAAAGUUCUUUGGAAUAGGACAUCAUAGAGGGUGAGAAUCCCGUAUUUGGUCAUUCUUUCUAGCUUUGUGAUACACUUUCAACGAGUCGGAUUGUUUGGGAAUGCAGUCCAAAAUGGGUGGUAAAUUUCAUCUAAAGCUAAAUAUUGGCGAGAGACCGAUAGCGAACAAGUACCGUGAGGGAAAGAUGAAAAGAACUUUGAAAAGAGAGUUAAACAGUACGUGAAAUUGUCAAAAGGGAAGCGUUUGACACCAGUGUUGUUUUUUCCGAAAAUCAAUUACGAAUGUUUUAGUUUUUGAGAAGUUAUGACUUUCACCGGCUUGCUUCUCUCUUUAUGAAACUUUCUUAAUGCACUUUUCGGUUAACAAGUCAACAUCAAUUUCUUUUGUUGUAAAAGGGUAUGAGGAAGGUGGCUUUCUUUUCGGAGAAAGUGUUUAUAGCCUUGUACCUCUGCAAUCGGAGAGAUUGAGGUCUGCAGCGUAGAUCCUUCGGGGUUAGAUACAUUUGUGCUAAGUUAUAGCUUUUCAUAGACAACUUGUUGACUAUGUUUAGUCUUGUAGCUUACUCGCUUAUGCUAUUUUACCUACGCUUAGGAUGAUGAUCUGUAGUGCGUGCGC